CUCCUGGCCUCAAGUGAUCCACCUGCCUUGGCCUCCCAAAGUGCUGGGAUUACAGGCAUGAGCCACUGCACCUGGCCAAAUGUGCAUUUUUAAGGUUAUCACCACAGAUUGAUUGGCAUGAGCUCAUGUGCCAUCAGGUGCAUGAAUCAUCCAACAGGACAAACAGCUGGCACAUGGUGGGUACUCCAUACAUAUCUGAUGGAUAAUGAAUGAACCUCUUAACUGCCGUCUGGCCCAGAACUGACCAGGUGGUAAUCAGUGGUCAGUGAGGUGCAACAUGAACUGGGCCCUCUCUGCUUCCCUCCCUUUUCAUCCUGCCUUAUUGAGAUACAAUUCAUAUACCAUAAAAUCCAUCCUUUUAAAGUGUUAUAUGGCAGAUGCGGUGGCUCAUGCCUGUAAUCCUAGCAUUUUGGGAGGCCGAGGUGGGCGGAUUGCUUGAGGUCAGGAGUUCAAGACCAGCCUGGCCAACAUGGUGAAACCCCAUCUCUUCUAAAAAUACAAAAAAAAAAAAAAAUUAGCCAGGCGUGGUGGUGUACGCCUGUAGUCCUAGCUACUCAGGAGGCUGAGGCAGGAGAGUCACUUGAACCCAGGAGGUGGAGGUGGUAGUGAGCCGAGAUUGCACCACUGUACUCCAUCCUGGGCAACAGAGCGAGACUUCGUCUCAAAAUAAAUAAAUAAAGUGUUAUACUUCAGUGGUUUCUGGUAUAUUCUCAGAGUUGUUCAAACAUCACCACUAUCUAAUUUCAAAACAUCUUAUUGCCCCAAAAAAGAAACCCUGUACCCAUUAGCAGUCAUUCCCCAAUCCCUCCUCUGCCCAGCCCUGGCAACCACUGUCUACUUUCUGUUCUGUGGAUUUGGAGUAGAAUCAUAUAGUAUGUGGCCUCUUGUGACUGGCUUCCUUCUCUUGGCAUGAUGUUUAAAGGUUCAUCUACAUUGUAGUGUGUGUCAGGAUUUCAUUUCUUUUUGUGGCUGAAUCAUAUUCCAUGGUAUGCAUGCACCACAUUUUGUCUACGGAUAUUUGAGUUGUUUCCACAUUUUGGCUAUUAUUAAUGCUGCUAUACACAUUUGGCAGAGUGCAGUAGCUCACACCUAUAAUCCUAGCACUUUGGGAGGCUGAGGCAAACGGAUCAAUUGAGGCAGGAGUUUGAGACCAGCUUGGCCAACAUGGCAAAACCCCGUCUCUACUAAAAAUAUAUAGCCAGGCAUGGUGGUGCAUGUCUGUAAUCCCAGCUGUUCAGGAGGCUAAGGCACAAGAAUCGCUUGAAUCCGAGAGGCAGAGCUUGCAGUGAGCCAAGAUCGCACCACUGCACUGACAGUGUUUCAUCAUGUUGGCCAAGCUGGUUUCAAACUCCUGAUCUCAAGUGAGCUGCCCACCUUGUUCUCUCAAAGUGCUGAGAUUACAGGCAUGAGCCCCUGCACCCAGCCUGCAUAACUUUUUUUAAAAGGCAUUGUUGCCUUGUUCCCUUGAAUCACUUUCUCUGGGAAACUAGCUAUCAUGUCAUGAGGACACUCAAGCAGCUCUGGGAGAGACCCCCUGUGGCUAGAAGCUGUGGAUUCUCACCAACAGCCAUGCAAGAUUCCCCAGCCCCAGUCGAGCCUUCAGAUGACCACAGCCCCAGCUGAUAUCUUGACUGCAAUAUCAUGAAAAACCAUGUGUCAGAACUGCUCAGACAUGUUGCUCCCAAAUUCUGGACCUGCAGAAACCAUGAAAGACAAUAAAUGAUUAUUGCUGUUUUAGGUCACUAUGUUUUGAGCUAACUUCUUACACAGCAAUAGAUACUAAUGCAUAUUUUAACCAGUUUCCUACAUUAAAACCUUUCUGUUGGAAAGAC
Molecule: long non-coding RNA, 1832 nt
Filed under: Homo sapiens (human)
Lineage: Eukaryota; Metazoa; Chordata; Mammalia; Primates; Hominidae
Description: PREDICTED lncRNA (TCONS_00066576)
Source: RNAcentral